CAGUAGCCACGGUAACACGUAGGGUGCGAGCGUUAAUCGGAAUUACUGGGCGUAAAGCGGGCGCAGACGGUUACUUAAGCAGGAUGUGAAAUCCCCGGGCUCAACCUGGGAACUGCGUUCUGAACUGGGUGACUAGAGUGUGUCAGAGGGAGGUAGAAUUCCACGUGUAGCAGUGAAAUGCGUAGAGAUGUGGAGGAAUACCGAUGGCGAAGGCAGCCUCCUGGGAUAACACUGACGUUCAUGCCCGAAAGCGUGGGUAGCAAACAGGAUUAGAUACCCCAGUAGUCCCUGUCUCUUAUAC
Molecule: ribosomal RNA, 301 nt
Filed under: uncultured bacterium
Lineage: Bacteria
Description: partial 16S ribosomal RNA
Rfam family: Bacterial small subunit ribosomal RNA
Source: RNAcentral